AUGCACUCUGUCACCACAUUCUUCAAGAAGGUAGAGCCUUCCCAAGAAGAAUAUGGUUUAGCUGUGCAGGAGGGUGUCUUUGCAUACCACACUAUGCGACACAAUCAUAGUUACAGAUGUGAAUUGAUCGCCCCCCAUCUAGCCUCAGAGUUUGUUCUAUUAGGUGACCUAAACUGGGAUAUGCUUAACACCCCGGCAGUCCUACAAUCUAAGCUAGAUGCCCUCAAUCUCACACAAAUCAUCAAGGAACCCACCAGGUACAACCCUAAAUCUGUAAACAAGGGCACCCUCAUAGACGUCAUCCUGACCAACUGGCCCUCCAAAUACACCUCCGCUGUCUUCAACCAGGAUCUCAGCGAUCACUGCCUCAUUGCCUGUAUCCGCUAUGGAGCCGCAGUCAAACGACCACCCGUCAUCACUGUCAAACGCUCCCUAAAACACUUCUGUGAGCAGGCCUUUCUAAUCGACCUGGCCCGGGUAUCCUGGAAGGACAUUGACCUCAUCCCGUCAGUUGAGGAUGCCUGGUCAUUCUUUAAAAGUAACUUCCUCACCAUUUUAGAUAAGCAUGCUCCGUUCAAAAAAUGUAGAACUAAGAACAGAUAUAGCCCUUGGUUCACUCCAGACCUGACUGCCCUCGACCAGCACAAAAACAUCCUGUGGCGGACUGAAAUAGCAUCGAAUAGUCCCCGCGAUAUGCAACUGUUCAGGGAAGUCAGGAACCAAUACACGCAGUCAGUCAGGAAAGCUAAGGCCAGCUUCUUCAGGCAGAAAUUUGCAUCCUGUAGCUCCAACUCCAAAAAGUUAUGGGACACUGUGAAGUCCAUGGAGAACAAGAGCACCUCUUCCCAGCUGCCCACUGCACUGAGGCUAGGUAACACGGUCACCACCGAUAAAUCCAUGAUUAUCGAAAACUUCAACAAGCAUUUCUCAACGGCUGGCCAUGCCUUCCGCCUGGUUACUCCAACCUUGGCCAACAGCUCCGCCCCCUCCGCAGCUACUCGCCCAAGCCUCUCCAGGUUCUCCUUUACCCAAAUCCAGAUAGCAGAUGUUCUGAAAGAGCUGCAAAACCUGGACCCGUACAAAUCAGCUGGGCUUGACAUUCUGGACCCUCUAUUUGUGAAACUAUCCGCCGCCAUUGUCGCAACCCCUAUUACCAGCCUGUUCAACCUCUCUUUCAUAUCGUCUGAGAUCCCCAAGGAUUGGAAAGCUGCCGCAGUCAUCCCCCUCUUCAAAGGGGGAGACACCCUGGACCCAAACUGUUACAAACCUAUAUCCAUCCGUCUUUAUAAGGUCUUCGAAAGCCAAGUCAACAAACAGGUCACUGACCAUCACGAAUCCCACCGUACCUUCUCCGCUGUGCAAUCUGGUUUCCGAACCGGUUACGGGUGCACCUCAGCCACGCUCAAGGUACUAAACGAUAUCAUAACCGCCAUCGAUAAAAGACAGUACUGUGCAGCCGUCUUCAUCGACCUUGCCAAGGCUUUCGACUCUGUCAAUCACCAUAUUCUUAUCGGCAGACUCAGUAGCCUCGGUUUUUCUGAUGACUGCCUUGCCUGGUUCACCAACUACUUUGCAGACAGAGUUCAGUGUGUCAAAUCGGAGGGCAUGCUGUCCGGUCCACUGGCAGUCUCUAUGGGGGUGCCACAGGGUUCAAUUCUCGGGCCGACUCUUUUCUCUGUAUAUAUAUAUCAAUGA
This is a long non-coding RNA of Oncorhynchus mykiss (rainbow trout), 1695 nucleotides long. The record is from Ensembl. NCBI's taxonomy places the organism in Eukaryota, Metazoa, Chordata, Actinopteri, Salmoniformes, Salmonidae.